Molecule: long non-coding RNA, 1699 nt
Organism: Piliocolobus tephrosceles (Ugandan red Colobus)
Lineage: Eukaryota; Metazoa; Chordata; Mammalia; Primates; Cercopithecidae
Exons: 3
Source: RefSeq, a predicted model, not a curated record
UGUGUGUGUGUGUGUGUGUGUGUGUGUGUGUCGGGGGAUGGUAUAAGGGAGCCCAGGGACACUGGGGCACCAGCUUAUUAACACGUGUGUACAAAUGUGGGCUGUGCGCUUGGCAAAUCCUUAAUUACAUAGGGAGACCUUCCUAAACGGGAACUCAGUAUUGGUCCCUAAAAGGUUGGGUAAUGGCUUUUUCUUGCAUCUGGAAUCCAAGGGGACCAAUCUCUCUGGUUCCCCUGGGGCCCCAGAUUCUUCUAGAUGUCUUUGUCUUCUAAAAUUCUGGGAUCCCACGGGAAGGCACAUAGUUAAGGACACUCAGAAAUGCAUACCUUUCAACCCUACUAAUCAUCCUAAAACGUGUGCUUUCAACAGAUCACGUCCUUGAUCUGUAACCCUUAGGGGCACCCAGGAUCUCCAAUGACUGGGAGUGAUGGCAUUUAAGUCUUUCCACCAUGCAGAAUUUUCUUCCCUCCCUCCCCAUGAAUUCUCUCCUGUAGCCAGCCUGGCCCCUCAUAACCCCUUGGAUAUACUGUAUCUUGAAUUCUCCAGCCUUUCUGCAGUUGCCUUCCUGGGACAUUCAUUCCCAUGUUCACAAUCUAGCCAGUUGUAUCCCUUCUCUAUUGCUAUAGUUCUAGCAUCAGUCAGUCAAUCAACAAGCAUUUAUUGGAAGUCCACUAUGUGCAAGACAUGUUCUAGGCCCUGGUAAUACAUCAGAGACUAAGACAUAUACCUGCUCUUAAGGAUUUUAUAUUUUAAUGGGAGGAACAGGGUAAACUCAUGGCUCAUGCCUGUAAUCCCAGGACUUUGGGAGGCUAAGGCAAGAGGAUCACUUGAGGCCAGGAGUUCAAAACCAGCCUGGGCAGCAAGUGUCUUCUUUUGUUUCUACAAAAGAAAAUUAAAAAUAACAAAAAGGAAGUUAACUAGAGUAUUGUGGUAGAGGGUAUGUGUGUGUGUGCAUGUGGGUGCGUCCGUGUGUGUGGUGGGUUGAUGGGUGCUGUUUUAUUUAGCCAGGGAAGGUCUCUUUGAGGAGGUGGCAUUUGAGACCUUGUGGGUGGGAAGGAGGCAGUCAUGUGGCGAUCUGGGGAAGAGUGCUGCAAGCAGAAGGGAAAGUAAAAACAAAAGCCCUCAGGCAGAAAUGUGUUCCUUAUACUUAAGAAACACCAUGAAGGCCAAUGUGGUUAGAGCAAUGUGAGCAAGGAGAAUAGAGGGACCUUGGGGACAUAGGUAGCCAAGUACUCAUGGAUCAAGCCAGCAGGUUCUCUUCAACACCCCAGCCCCGGAGAGCUGCAGAUUGGACAAUGGGCAGACUUUGUUGAACAGAUGAACAACCGUGGCUUAAUCUGUUUUGGAAAAAAAAAAAAAAAAGACCUGAAGCAAUUGAUAAACAAGAGACUGAGGUCAGUGUGAAGGAAGAGUAAAUGAGGCCAGAUUGGAGAACGCUGAAACGUGAUGUCUGCUGGGACAAUGGUGCAUGAGCAGAGGAGAUAUUCAUCAGCUGUACAUCUACUGUUCCUUGCUGCCCCACGAGCCCAGAAUGCUGGUUGUCUCACAAUGUUUGGCGGUUCAGUGACAUGUGUGUUUCAUCUUUGAUUGCUAAGUGGGGGUGCUGACAGCCCUGAGAGGUCAUGUUUUCCAUUCAAACCAGAACUUGUUUGAAUGCAGAAAAGAAAAAGGCAAUGGCAUUCUAAAAAAUGUGAAUGAC